This is a non-coding RNA of Acanthosepion pharaonis, 106 nucleotides long. Lineage: Eukaryota; Metazoa; Mollusca; Cephalopoda; Sepiida; Sepiidae. The record is from the annotation of a GenBank genome assembly.
AUGGUCACAUCUCGAUGAAACACCAGUUCUCGAACGAUCACUGAAGUCAAACAACCUCGGGCCAGGUUGUUACUUAGAUGGGUGACCGCUUGGGAAUACCAGGUAC